CAAGGCUUGACAUAUACAGGAAUAUGGCAGAGAUGUCAUAGCCGCAAGGUCUGUAUACAGGUGGUGCAUGGUUGUCGUCAGCUCGUGUCGUGAGAUGUUGGGUUAAGUCCCGCAACGAGCGCAACCCUCGUUCUGUGUUGCCAGCAUUUAGUUGGGGACUCACAGGAGACUGCCGGGGUUAACUCGGAGGAAGGUGGGGAUGACGUCAAAUCAUCAUGCCCCUUAUGUCUUGGGCUGCACGCAUGCUACAAUGGCUGGUACAAACGGCUGCAAUACCGCAAGGUGGAGCGAAUCCGAGAAAGCUAGUCUCAGUUCGGAUUGGGGUCUGCAACUCGACCCCAUGAAGUCGGAGUUGCUAGUAAUCGUAGAUCAGCAACGCUACGGUGAAUA
RNAcentral lists this ribosomal RNA (390 nucleotides) under Pseudomonas putida. RNAcentral's name for it is "bacterial SSU rRNA". It matches the Rfam family "Bacterial small subunit ribosomal RNA", at positions 975 to 1368 of the family's 1533-position model. RNAcentral also lists the same sequence under 1 other name. The record is from RNAcentral. Lineage: Bacteria; Pseudomonadati; Pseudomonadota; Gammaproteobacteria; Pseudomonadales; Pseudomonadaceae.